Microcebus murinus (gray mouse lemur) is the source of this 102-nucleotide unclassified non-coding RNA. It matches the Rfam family "Y RNA". From Rfam's summary of the family: Y RNAs are components of the Ro ribonucleoprotein particle (Ro RNP), in association with Ro60 and La proteins. The Y RNAs and Ro60 and La proteins are well conserved, but the function of the Ro RNP is not known. NCBI's taxonomy places the organism in Eukaryota, Metazoa, Chordata, Mammalia, Primates, Cheirogaleidae. The record is from Ensembl.
GGUUAGUCCGAGUGCAGUGGUGUUUACAACUAAUUGAUCACAACCAGUUAUAGAUUCUUUUGUUCCUUCUCCACUUCCACUGCUUCACUUGACCAGCCUUUA